This 6113-nucleotide long non-coding RNA is filed under the name Mytilus galloprovincialis (Mediterranean mussel). Lineage: Eukaryota; Metazoa; Mollusca; Bivalvia; Mytilida; Mytilidae. The record is from RNAcentral.
CAGAAAUGUUCUAUUUAUAAGACUAAAUUAGGUAUGUAAUUUUAUCGUUUUAUCUCUGUAUUAUACACAAACAUCCACACAAACACACAUACUUUAACUGUGUAGUAGGCUUUUUUUUAUACUUUUUUUAUUUUAUUUUGAUCAACUUUCGUUUCAGUUGUUUUGUGAGAUAUGUUAGAACACGUUGAAUGCCUUACUAAUUAUGCCUAUUUCAACUGUUUUUAUUGUGUGCUUCUAUUUUUGUGGAGUUUUGUCUUUAUUGUUUCCGCGUAAUGCGUUGUUUGAGAAUAGAAAUAUUGGGCGUCCCUUAAAUACCGUCCGUCCGUCCACACGUCUGUCCGUCCGGUCUUGUUUAAUAGCGCGCUCUUACUAAUAUCUACAAUUCUUGCCAAAUUUUUAUAAAACUUAUAACGCAGGUUUACAUCAACAAUGUAUUCGACUAUAUAGUUCGAUAUAUAAGCAGUUCUGAUCAUGUACAUGAUGUAUUUAUAAAAGAGAUAGAAUGUGUAUAAGCCAUUUAGAAGAAUCAUUAAUUGGAAAAUCGCAUUGUCAGCGGAAUCAUUUUGUACAAUUUGUGACAGACUCUUUAUAAAACUUAUACAGUAGGUUAUAUUAUUAAUAUCUAAUACGAGUGCGAAAAGCAAUGCCAAUCGAUAAUUUUUAAUAGACGUGUUACGAAAUUGUAUCUACUCGACGCUGAGGUAGACAAAUUAGACUUUAAAUGCCGGUAUCGGAUCAAAGCACACAAGUUAUUUAAAUAUUUUAAUUACCUGUGUACCAAUUGAAUCAUGGUGUUAAACUGCAUAGUAAUGAUAAAAAGUAAAAUCACAAAAAUACUGAAAUCAGAGGAAAAUCUAAUCGGAAAGUCCAUUAUCACAUGGCAAAAUCAAAAGACAAAACAGAUAAAAACGAAAUGGACAAGAACUGUCAUGUCCGCUUAUAUUUACUUCAAUAACACACGUCUUUUUUCAAACUUUAUCAUUGCUAAUUUCCUGUUGAAUAUUCCUUAAGGAACGAAUAUGAUAUAAUAAUUAUUCCGUGAAGAAUAAAUGAUAUACCCCGUUUAACUUUGGAAAUACAUUUCCUUGGAUUGUUUCUUUUGUUGACUAUAUAUACUAAUCUGUUUGAUACCUACUAAGAAAAAGAUUGAUUUCCUUUAUAUUAUUUUCAUGUAAAAUGUGACCGGUUUGACCCAACAACAUCUUAUAUAUAUUCCUGCAAAGUUUCAAAAUAUUCCGUUUUGUAAUUUUCUGAAGUACGAGUUAUGCCCCUUGGAAAAAAAAUUGUAACGGAAAUUGCCUUACAUUUGCUUUGAAGCGUUCAUUUCUUUAAGAUUAUUAUACAAAGUUUUUAUUAGGACAAUAACCGAAAAAAAGUUUUUUUUUGUAAUUAUCCUUGUUCCUCAACAGAUUAAAAAAAAAAGGUGGAACGCGGUAGACUUUGGUCAUUUUCUUUGUCUUUCUUUUUAAAAAUUUAAUGUUGUAUUUAUACCAUUCAUACUCUUUAAAUAAAGUUUAACAACAUUUUAUGUGUUUAAGAAUUACAAGAACUAUAUGUGAAAAACUUCUAAAUUUUAUAGUCGAAGUGUGUCGAGUAGUUUUUGGGGAGUACAGUUUCAAGUUAAACAUAAAAUUGAGAAUGGAAAUGGGGAAUGUGUCAAAGAGACAACAACCCGACCAAAUAAAAAACAACAGCAGAGGGUCACCAACAGGCCUUUAAUGUAGCGAGAAAUUCCCGCACCCGGAGGCGUCCUUCAGCUGGCCCCUAAACAAAUAUAUACUAGUCCAGUGAUUAUGAACGCCAUACUAAUUUCCAAAUUGUACACAAGAAACUAAAAUUAAAAUAAUACAAGACUAACAAAGGCCAGAGACUCCUGACUUGGGACAGGCGCAAAAAUGCGGCGGGGUUCAACAUUUUUGUGAGAUCUCAACCCUCCCCCUAUACCUCUAACCAAUGUAGAAAAGUAAACGCAUAACAAUACGCACAUUAAAAUUCAGUUCAAGAGAAGUCCGAGUCUGAAGUCAGAAAAUGUAACCAAAGAAAAUAGACAAAAUGACAAUAAUACAUAAAUAACAACAGACUACUAGCAGUUAACUGACAUGCCAGCUCUAGACUUCAAUUAAACUGACUGAAAGAUUAUGAUUUCAUCAUAUGAACAUCAGACACAAUCCUUCCCGUUAGGGUUUAGUAUCAUACCAUCAUAAACAUAUAUGAGAAGAACAUAACCCGUGUCAUGCCAACAACUGUUUUUAGAAUAAAUGUGUUUAGUUCCGAUGCAAAGACCUUAUCAGUGACUCAAUACUAACGCCAAAAUAUGCAAUCUUUAAUGACUUGACAACAGUAUCGUAAUUAUAUCCCUUCUUAAUAAGUCUAUUCAAAGGUUUUGUAAGUUUCUGAGGUGAAUACUGACACCUUUGUGCUUUAUAAAGAAUAUUUCCAUAAAAAUUGGAUGUGAAAUACCUGAACGUAUUAGAAGUCGGCAUGUUGAGCUAUAUUUACGAAUGAUGUCUUUAUACCGAUGAUUAGAUUUAGUAAAUGUUUUGACUUCUAGUUUGUGAUAUCGAAAACCCUGGUGUAAUAAUUUUUCAGUAAUACAUAAAUUUCUCUCGUUAAAAUCUAAAACAUUGUUACAUACACGAGCGAAUCGUACAAGUUGAGAUAUAUAAACACCGUAAGAUGGUGACAAGGGAACGUCACCAUCUAAAAACGGAUAAUUAACGAUAGGAAAUGAAAAAUCACCCCUUUUAUCAUAAGUUUUAGUAUUCAGCUUUCCAUUAGUAAUAUAGAUAUCAAGAUCGAGAAAAGGGCAGUGGUCAUUGUUAGUAUUAGCUUUAUUUAAAGUAAGUUCAACAGGAUAAAUUUCAUUAAUAUACAUACUGAAGUCGUCAUUAUUGAGAGCCAAAAUAUAUUCCAAAUAUCUAAAAGUAUUAUUAAAUUUGUUUAUCAGAUGUUGUUCCGAUGGGUUUUUGCUUCUUUUUGUCAUAAAUUGUAACUCAUAACAAUACAAAAACAGGUCCGCAAUAAGUGGUGCACAGUUAGUCCCCAUAUCUGUUUCUAACCUCAUGUGGAUCGUAAACUUAGUAAAAGAGGGACGACAGAUACCAAAGGUACAGUCAAACUCAUAAAUCUAAAACAAACUGACAACGCCAUGGCUAAAAAUGAAAAGGACAAACAAACAACAGCACACAUGACACAACAUAGAAAACUAAAGAAUAAACAACACGAACCCCACCAAAAAACUAGGGGUGAUCUCAGGUGCUCCGGAAGGGAGAGCAGAUCCUGUUCCACAUAUGGCACCCGUCGUGUUGUUUAUGUGAUAACAAAUCCGGAAAAUAGUCUAAUUCGGUAGGUCCCAUUCGUGAAAGGGAAGGGGAUUGUAGUUACGCCGUAAGGAACAUAUCCGAUAUCAUUUGUAUUAUUCCAUGAUGAUGGCGUCUGUAAAGUUUACGAAGGGAUGAUUUCAACUUCACCAUUUGUAACUCUUCGUUUAAUAGCUUCCUUGUGAGCAGCAACCCUCUAUCAAGGAAAUCAUGAUAGGGAAUACAAGCCUUGGAAUAUCGUAUCAAUUGAGAGAUAUUAUUCAGUGAAAGAACAUCGUCUAUAUAGCGGGAGGAGAGUUAAAGAAUAUUGAUAACUUCUUAUCUUUCUUCCUAAGAAGUUCCUGUAUCAAGUCAGCCUCAUAAUAAUAAAGAAACAAGUCGGCAAGUAGAGGGGCACAGUUUGUUCCGAUUGGAAUGCCGACAGUCUCUUGAAAAACACGUCCUCCGAACGUAACAAAUAUGUUGUCAAUCAAGAAAUCAAGCAUCUUGAUAAUAUCAGUUUCAGAGAAUUUUUUGUUUGAAUCAGAGUGAUCCUUUACAAAGUAGGAUUUAUCCCUCCCUAAGACAAGAUACUUGUAUCUACCAUGGCCAUUCCUUUUCAUGAAGCAAAGCAAUACCAACUCUUUCAAUUUGUCUCUUAGUUUGGAAUGUGGAAUACUUGUGUAAAGAGUAGAACAGUCAAAUGUUUUAAUAAUGUUGCAAGAUGAAAGAGAGUUAGAUUGUAUGUACUCUAAAAGAUCUUUCGAAUUUUUAAGUAUCCACAUCUGAUUCACGCCCCCUCUAGAAUAUGCAGUUUCACAAUAACUUUGAAGCCCGUCUUUGAUUGCUGAUAAAAUAGAUUCAAAUAAUUUUUAAAGAGGUUUCGAGGAGCACUUGGAAGACCCAGCAAUAUACCGUUGUUUGUAAGGACACUUAUGUAGUUUAGGUAUCCAAUACAGUGAUGGAAGAUCCAGUUCUUCAUCUUUGGUUGAAAUUCCAAAGGAAUUCCUCUUUGGUAAGUGUCGUGAGGGUAUAUGUUGAGUUUCCAAGAACGACAAGUAUGCGGUGAUUAGAAAGAUGAUUGUAGCCGCAGUGAAUUACUUAUUAUCGAGCACAAAUAUUUACAAAACUGGUAUUUGCUGUUAAUUCGCUAAGCAUGCUGCAUUAGAGUUAUUGACUCGGAGGUCAGAAGCUUUAGUAGGCCAACACGUCUUAUGUUAUGUAUGUGAUUUUCUUAACAUUAACCUGUAAAAAUAAUGAUCUUGAAUUUAAAUAAAACUUUAACUUUAAAUUAUAAUUAAAGGCCUUAGAGAUAUUUUGAACUAUAACCAAUAAAGUAUGCGAGCCAUUUCAGAAUAUAUUAGAGUAUUCAUGUAAGUACAUGCAAUCUAUUUUAGAAUUAUGGCCACCAAUUGGGGUAUUUGUGGUAUUUGUGAAAAUCUUCAGAUUACCAAACCUUCAGUAGUAUGGUGUUCCGAAUGUGACGAAGGACUAUGUGGAGAUUGUAAGAAACAUCACGCAGUUUCCAAGGCAUCAAAAAACCAUGAAACCGUUUCUAUCGCCAAAUACAAAAACUUACCCACCGAAGUCCUGCAAAUCUCUCAGACCUGCAAACUUCAUAAUGAAAAAUACGAGCUGUUUUGUGCAAAACACGAUUGUCCUUGCUGUAAGAAAUGUGUGAAAUCUCACAACGAUUGUAAAGGUUUAACUGACAUAAAUGAACUCAUAAAAAACGUAAAAACUUCAAACGCAUUUAAUGAAAUCGAACAAACCCUGCAGGAAGUCGUCGAGAAUAUUAAACGACUAAGCACAAAACAGGAAUGAAAAUUUAAAAUCUAUAGAAAACAAGAAAAGAGAAAUUGAAGCAGCAAUAAAACAAACCAGGAUAAACGUUAAUCGUCACCUUGAUAAACUUCAGGAUGACUUGAUUAAAGAACUAAUGACAGUUGAACAAAGAGAAAAAAGCAAAAUAGAAAAAUUGUUAACUUCUCUAAAAAAGAAGGAAAAAGAGAUCGCUGAAGUACAAGAAAACUUUGCCAGUAUUAAACAUCAUGCGUCAGAACUUCAAACAUUUUUAACAAUGAAAGAUAUCGAAAAAGAUAUUAUAGGCGAAGAAAAAUUUAUCAAAUCGAUUGCCACAAGUGACUCCACAAAUCAAGUCAAUAUUUCAUGUCAGAUAAACAAGUCUUUGCAAAAAAUCACAGAAAUUCUGCAGAAGUUUGGGGAAAUAUAUGUUUGUUCUGAUCCAUGUGAUGUUUCGAUUCACAAACGGAAGGACAGACAAGCCCAGAUUAUGGUCACUCUUCCAACCAGAGAUAUCGAUAACCUGACUCUGACAUUACAGAAACGUAUGAAGAUAAAGUUGACAGAUGUCUCUGGUUGUUCAUUGCUUCCUGGUGAUCGGAUGGUAUUCUCCUCUUAUUGGACAAUAAAUUAACAGUACUAAAGUCUGACGGAUCAAAAGAUUUUGAGAUAAAGAACAUUGGUCGAACGUUUGAUGUGGUAUUUAUUGGUGAUGAUUCUAUUGCUGUAACUUCCGGCAUUUCAAAUCAGAUUAAUAUAAUCGACUUAAAGAAGAAAUCAAAGACGAAAUCAAUAAAAGUUGAUUCAUAUAAUGGUGGAGUAGCAUACAAAGAUGGAUAUUUAAUAUAUUGUGCCACAGAGAAAGGAAUACAGAUGAUCAGUCUGAAUGACGAAACAAUUACCAAUGUUAACAAUACCAAACUUUCAGGUCUUGCGUACGUUACAACAUUCGGUGACAAAUUGUUCUACACAAAUUCCAAUGACAGCGUAACCUGCUGUGAUUACCAUGGU